UGGAGAAGACGGCAGUUGAGAAUAAGAGGAGAGGGGAGAUACAUUAAAUUGAGGGCAGAGGAGAGAUGAAGAUAUGAAAAUAUAAAGGAGGUCAAAGAGAAAAGGGAAGAAUGCAAGAGGAGGGGCGAGAGAAUAUGAGAAGACAGGAGAGACGAAGACUAGGGAGAAUGAAGGAGAAGUUUGCAAAGAAAAGAGAGGAGAGGGAAAACAGGAGAAGAGAGGAGAUGAGCAGAGGACAGCAAAGUUAAGAGUGGAGACAGAGCAUAGCUGGGCAGAGGAGAGGCAAGAGCAGAGCUGAGGAGAAGAGAGAGGAGAGCAGCGUUGAGGAGAAGAGAGAGGAGAGCAGAGCUGAGGAGAAGAGAGGAGAGGAGAGGAGAGGAGAGGAGAGGAGAGGAGAGGAGAGGAGAGAGGAGAGGAGAGGAGAGAGGAGAGGAGAGAGCAGAGCAAAGGAGAGGAGAGGAGAGGAGAGGAGAGGAGGGGAGAGGAGAGGAGAGAGGAGAGGAGAGAGCAGAGCAGGGGAGAGCAGAGAAGAGGAGAAAACAGGGCAGCAGAGGAGCGAGGAGGAGCCCUCGGUAUGACAGGUUGAGCCGUAGAGGAGACGCCUCGCGCCCCAUCAGAUAACACUAUCAGCACCCCACAGACUAUCAGCACCCCACAGACUAUCAGCACCCUGCACCCGUUGUGGCGCCACACUGCACUAUCAGCAGCCAGCACCCGCGCCACAGCCUCAGCAAACGAAGAAUUCAACAAUGUCUGGUGUAUUUCCUCUCUAAGUCAGGGCUGAUCUCCUAUCCCGACCCCAGGAGGCGGAGAGCCGAGUGUCUGAUCAACCCGGUAGCACUGCUGCUCCUACAGAAGGGAAGGGCUGAGCCGGGCCAGGGCUGCCUUCUGCUACAAGCUGCUUACCAUACGUUUACAGCCAGGAGGAUCAGAGAGGAAACCCACCCAGCCUGGAAGAGGAGCAAGGAGGGGAG
Molecule: long non-coding RNA, 974 nt
Organism: Gadus macrocephalus (Pacific cod)
Lineage: Eukaryota; Metazoa; Chordata; Actinopteri; Gadiformes; Gadidae
Exons: 3
Source: RefSeq, a predicted model, not a curated record